Molecule: non-coding RNA, 23 nt
Filed under: Mus musculus (house mouse)
Lineage: Eukaryota; Metazoa; Chordata; Mammalia; Rodentia; Muridae
Source: RNAcentral
UGUAGAAAUACAUGCAGGCACCC